AAGAUCCUGCGAUGUACGUAAGGCCGUAAAUGUUUCUAACCUUAUACGUGUUUUUCGGGAGACGGAAUUUCGCAAUGGAAGUCAGGCCCACCUCCUUUUGGAUGCAUGGGAAGGCAGAAGUUCGAAGGGGUCACCCACCUGUGUGAGCGCAGGUUAUAGAAACAUGAGGUCAACGGCAGAGCGGGGACUUG
RNAcentral lists this non-coding RNA (191 nucleotides) under Brevibacillus nitrificans. RNAcentral's name for it is "6S / SsrS RNA". It matches the Rfam family "6S / SsrS RNA". From Rfam's summary of the family: E. coli 6S RNA was the first non coding RNA to be sequenced, but its function was unknown until recently. It consists of 184 nucleotides that fold into an extended hairpin structure with a large single-stranded internal bulge. The 6S RNA specifically associates with RNA polymerase holoenzyme containing the sigma70 specificity factor. Lineage: Bacteria; Bacillati; Bacillota; Bacilli; Caryophanales; Paenibacillaceae. The record is from RNAcentral.